RNAcentral lists this ribosomal RNA (303 nucleotides) under uncultured bacterium. RNAcentral's name for it is "partial 16S ribosomal RNA". It matches the Rfam family "Bacterial small subunit ribosomal RNA", at positions 507 to 807 of the family's 1533-position model. The record is from RNAcentral.
AGCAGUAGCCGCGGUAAUACAGAGGGUGCGAGCGUUAAUCGGAUUUACUGGGCGUAAAGCGUGCGUAGGCGGCUUCUUAAGUCGGAUGUGAAAUCCCUGAGCUUAACUUAGGAAUUGCAUUCGAUACUGGGAAGCUAGAGUAUGGGAGAGGAUGGUAGAAUUCCAGGUGUAGCGGUGAAAUGCGUAGAGAUCUGGAGGAAUACCGAUGGCGAAGGCAGCCAUCUGGCCUAAUACUGACGCUGAGGUACGAAAGCAUGGGGAGCAAACAGGAUUAGAGACCCCAGUAGUCCCUGUCUCUUAUAC